UCCUCGACCUCUGAUGGCUUCUACAUCUCCCAAGAAAAAUACAUUCAGGACCUUCUUGCUCGUGCUGCUCUAGGUGAUGAGCGCACCGUUGUGACUCCAAUGGAGCUCAACGUUCAGCUUCGUGCCUCUGAUGGUGACCCUCUCCCUAAUCCCACUCGCUAUCGUCACCUUGUUGGCAGUCUUGUCUACCUUGCUGUUACGCGUCCUGACAUCUCCUAUCCCGUCCACAUUCUGAGUCAGUUCAUUUCAGCCCCCACCUCAGUCCACUAUAGUCAUCUCCUCCGUGUCCUACGAUAUCUUCGUGGCAUGAUCUCUCAGCGUCUUUUCUUUCCCCGCUCCCAGCUCUCUUGA
Molecule: ribosomal RNA, 351 nt
Filed under: Triticum aestivum (bread wheat)
Lineage: Eukaryota; Viridiplantae; Streptophyta; Magnoliopsida; Poales; Poaceae
Description: partial small subunit ribosomal RNA
Source: RNAcentral